CAAGAUCGAACUGAAGAGUUUGAUCCUGGCUCAGAUUGAACGCUGGCGGAAUGCUUUACACAUGCAAGUCGAACGGUAGAGGGGG
This 85-nucleotide ribosomal RNA is filed under the name Limnohabitans sp. RNAcentral describes it as "partial 16S ribosomal RNA". It matches the Rfam family "Bacterial small subunit ribosomal RNA", at positions 1 to 78 of the family's 1533-position model. Lineage: Bacteria; Pseudomonadati; Pseudomonadota; Betaproteobacteria; Burkholderiales; Comamonadaceae. The record is from RNAcentral.